This 344-nucleotide ribosomal RNA is filed under the name uncultured fungus. RNAcentral describes it as "SSU rRNA". It matches the Rfam family "Eukaryotic small subunit ribosomal RNA", at positions 292 to 636 of the family's 1831-position model. Lineage: Eukaryota; Fungi. The record is from RNAcentral.
GGUUCAUCCAAAUUUCUUCCCUAUCAACUUUCGAUGUUUGGGUAUUGGCCAAACAUGGUUGCAACGGGUAACGGAGGGUUAGGGCUCGACCCCGGAGAAGGAGCCUGAGAAACGGCUACUACAUCCAAGGAAGGCAGCAGGCGCGCAAAUUACCCAAUCCCGACCGGGGAGGUAGUGACAAUAAAUACUGAUACAGGGCUCUUUUGGGUCUUGUAAUUGGAAUGAGUACAAUUUAAAUCCCUUAACGAGGAACAAUUGGAGGGCAAGUCUGGUGCCAGCAGCCGCGGUAAUUCCAGCUCCAAUAGCGUAUAUUAAAGUUGUUGUGGUUAAAAAGCUCGUAGUUG